CGCCAUUGCCAACGGCUCUCCCGGCGCCAUCAACAUUGACUUCCAACAGUGAGUCCACAACGAGAUUUUUUAUAGAAAAAAAUUAUUUAUUUAUUUUUUAUAUUUUUAAUGAUUUUGUCGGACGUGUGCAGGGUGUGAGAGAGGACACGUCACGACGAGGUCAACAAAAAAAUUGGUUAUAGAUAGUCAAAGAUUUUGAACUUUAGAUUAUAGAAAUAUAUAUAUAUACAUACAUGUCUUUAUUUGUUUCAUUUCAAAUUCGAAUCUAUCCUUGUCGAGCCAGGUCUCGUAAGGAUGGAACUGAUACUCGCAAAUUUAUUGUUAGAGUGGUAGACAGAUAUCCAUUAUACGUAUCCAAAGUUUUAUUAUUUGAAAUAUUCAAAAUAUCACGUAUAAAAUAACCCUUCAUCUUUUAGCUCACAACUAUUCACGGACAUGAUAUUGUGCACUUAACCCAUCAUUGACUAAUAAGAUAUGAUACAAAGACUAACAAGGCCAAAGGAUGUCAU
RNAcentral lists this long non-coding RNA (509 nucleotides) under Linum usitatissimum (flax). Its description in RNAcentral is "long non-coding RNA (LUSI_LNC006811)". The record is from RNAcentral. Lineage: Eukaryota; Viridiplantae; Streptophyta; Magnoliopsida; Malpighiales; Linaceae.